This 253-nucleotide ribosomal RNA is filed under the name uncultured bacterium. RNAcentral's name for it is "partial 16S ribosomal RNA". It matches the Rfam family "Bacterial small subunit ribosomal RNA", at positions 524 to 776 of the family's 1533-position model. The record is from RNAcentral.
UACGUAGGGGGCAAGCGUUAUCCGGAUUUACUGGGUGUAAAGGGAGCGUAGACGGCAGGGCAAGUCUGGAGUGAAAGGCAGGGGCCCAACCCCUGGACUGCUCUGGAAACUGUCCGGCUGGAGUGCAGGAGAGGUAAGUGGAAUUCCUAGUGUAGCGGUGAAAUGCGUAGAUAUUAGGAGGAACACCAGUGGCGAAGGCGGCCUGCUGGACGACAACUGACGGUGAGGCGCGAAAGCGUGGGGAGCAAACAGG